UACGAAGGGGGCUAGCGUUGCUCGGAAUGACUGGGCGUAAAGGGCGCGUAGGCGGAUGGCACAGUCAGAUGUGAAAUUCCCGGGCUUAACCUGGGGGCUGCAUUUGAUACGUGUGAUCUAGAGUGAGGAAGAGGGUCGUGGAAUUCCCAGUGUAGAGGUGAAAUUCGUAGAUAUUGGGAAGAACACCGGUGGCGAAGGCGGCUCACUGGCUCGUAACUGACGCUCAGGCGCGACAGCGUGGGGAUCAAACAGG
This 253-nucleotide ribosomal RNA is filed under the name uncultured bacterium. RNAcentral's name for it is "partial 16S ribosomal RNA". It matches the Rfam family "Bacterial small subunit ribosomal RNA", at positions 524 to 776 of the family's 1533-position model. The record is from RNAcentral.